GUCUAUGGCCAUACCACCCUGAACACACCUGAUCUCAUCUGAUCUCGAAAGCUAAGCAGGCUUGGGCCUGGUUAGUACUUAGAUGGGAGACUAUAGGAGCACAAAUGUUUUGGUUA
RNAcentral lists this ribosomal RNA (116 nucleotides) under Prolemur simus (greater bamboo lemur). Lineage: Eukaryota; Metazoa; Chordata; Mammalia; Primates; Lemuridae. The record is from RNAcentral.